Molecule: ribosomal RNA, 616 nt
Filed under: Nostoc punctiforme
Lineage: Bacteria; Bacillati; Cyanobacteriota; Cyanophyceae; Nostocales; Nostocaceae
Description: bacterial SSU rRNA
Rfam family: Bacterial small subunit ribosomal RNA
Source: RNAcentral
GAAUCUGGCUUCAGGUCGGGGAUAACUACUGGAAACGGUGGCUAAUACCGGAUGUGCCGAAAGGUAAAAGGCUUGCUGCCUGAAGAUGAGCUCGCGUCUGAUUAGCUAGUUGGUGUGGUAAGAGCACACCAAGGCGACGAUCAGUAGCUGGUCUGAGAGGAUGAUCAGCCACACUGGGACUGAGACACGGCCCAGACUCCUACGGGAGGCAGCAGUGGGGAAUUUUCCGCAAUGGGCGAAAGCCUGACGGAGCAAUACCGCGUGAGGGAGGAAGGCUCUUGGGUUGUAAACCUCUUUUCUCAGGGAAGAAAAAAAUGACGGUACCUGAGGAAUCAGCAUCGGCUAACUCCGUGCCAGCAGCCGCGGUAAUACGGAGGAUGCAAGCGUUAUCCGGAAUGAUUGGGCGUAAAGCGUCCGCAGGUGGCUAUGUAAGUCUGCUGUUAAAGAGCAAAGCUUAACUUUGUAAAAGCAGUGGAAACUACAUAGCUAGAGUGCGUUCGGGGCAGAGGGAAUUCCUGGUGUAGCGGUGAAAUGCGUAGAGAUCAGGAAGAACACCGGUGGCGAAGGCGCUCUGCUAGGCCGCAACUGACACUGAGGGACGAAAGCUAGGGGAGCG